Molecule: ribosomal RNA, 1509 nt
Filed under: metagenome
Description: bacterial SSU rRNA
Rfam family: Bacterial small subunit ribosomal RNA
Source: RNAcentral
CAGGACGAACGCUGGCGGCGUGCCUAACACAUGCAAGUCCACGGGAAGGCGGUAGCAAUACUGCUUGUAAAGUGGCGAACGGGUGAGUAACACGUAGGUAACUUACCCUUGGGACUGGAAUAACCUCGAGAAAUCGGGGCUAAUACCAGAUAAUGCAGCGGACCCGCAUGGGUAUGUUGUUAAAGUGGUAUCGACUUGUCGAGAUCACACCUAGGGAUAGACCUGCGCCCCAUUAGCUAGUUGGUGAGGUAACGGCUCACCAAGGCGACGAUGGGUAGCCGGCCUGAGAGGGUGUCCGGCCACACUGGGACUGAGAUACGGCCCAGACUCCUACGGGAGGCAGCAGUGAGGAAUAUUGGUCAAUGGCCGAAAGGCUGAACCAGCAACGCCGCGUGAGGGAUGAAGAUCUAAGGAUCGUAAACCUCUGUUAGAAGGGACGAACAACUCCAUGGUGAACAAUCAUGGGGCCUGACGGUACCUUCAGAGAAAGCCCCGGCUAACUCCGUGCCAGCAGCCGCGGUAAUACGGGGGGGGCAAGCGUUGUCCGGAAUUAUUUGGCGUAAAGGGCGCGUAGGCGGAAUGGUAAGUUGAGGGUGAAAGCCCGGAGCUUAACUCCGGGUCGGCCUUCAAGACUGUCAUCCUUGAGUAUGGAAGAGGGAAGUGGAAUUCCCGGUGUAGCGGUGAAAUGCGUAGAUAUCGGGAAGAACACCGGUAGCGAAGGCGGCUUCCUGGUCCAUUACUGACGCUGGGGCGCGAAAGUGUGGGGAGCAAACAGGAUUAGAUACCCUGGUAGUCCACACGGUAAACGAUGGGCAUUAGGUGUUGGAGGGCUCGACCCCUUCAGUGCCGCAGCUAACGCAUUAAAUGCCCCGCCUGGGGAGUACGGCCGCAAGGUUGAAACUCAAAGGAAUUGACGGGGGCCCGCACAAGCGGUGGAGCAUGUGGUUUAAUUCGAUGCAACGCGAAGAACCUUACCUGGGCUUGACAUGCUGGUUACCAACCUGAAAGGGAAGGGACCCUCGCAAGAGGGAGCCAGCACAGGUGCUGCAUGGCUGUCGUCAGCUCGUGUCGUGAGAUGUUGGGUUGAGUCCCGCAACGAGCGCAACCCUUGUCCUUAGUUGCCAUCAGGUUAUGCUGGGCACUCUAGGGAAACUGCCGGUGAUAAGCCGGAGGAAGGCGGGGAUGACGUCAAGUCAUCAUGGCCCUUACGUCCAGGGCUACACACGUGCUACAAUGGUCGGUACAACGGGGAGCAAGGUCGCAAGACGGAGCAAGUCCUCAAAACCGGCCUCAGUUCAGAUUGCAGUCUGCAACUCGACUGCAUGAAGCUGGAAUCGCUAGUAAUCGCGGAUCAGCACGCCGCGGUGAAUACGUUCCCGGGCCUUGUACACACCGCCCGUCACGCCAUGGAAGCCGAUAGCACCCGAAGUCACUGGCUCAAUCCCGACUUGUCGGGAAGAGAGGUGCCGAAGGUGAGAUUGGUGACUAGGGCGAAGUCGAAACAAGGUA